UAGCCUAGUGGUUAAGGCUAUGGAUUGCCAAUCCGGAGACGGUGGGUUCGAUUCCCGU
Molecule: non-coding RNA, 58 nt
Organism: Aedes albopictus (Asian tiger mosquito)
Lineage: Eukaryota; Metazoa; Arthropoda; Insecta; Diptera; Culicidae
Source: Rfam